Molecule: transfer RNA, 67 nt
Filed under: Botrylloides nigrum
Lineage: Eukaryota; Metazoa; Chordata; Ascidiacea; Stolidobranchia; Styelidae
Description: transfer RNA-Leu(CUN)
Source: RNAcentral
UUUCCUAUAGGAUAAAUUAAAAUCCUUUAUGUUUAGGACAUAAAAAUAGGCUAAGGUCUUAGGAAAG